CCACUGUAUAUAAAUAAUAAACUGGGAUCCAUUUACCCCUCAAAUUACUAACAACGAUAGUGUGAAUUAUGUUAAAUGAAACUUUUCUUAAAUAGAAUAUACAGAGAGCUUAUCAUGUAUCAUAGCACGUGAUAUGUUGUUAAUGAUGAAAUGAAAAAUGUAGAUAACGUGGCAUACAUACUGGUUGAAAUGAAAAUAAUAUCAUACCAUGCUAGCAAGUGAUAUGGCAUAUAUACUUGGAAGCAAUAAUAUAAUGCAUAUGCUAGUAGUAACAUAUCAUGAUACUAAGAUAAUCCCUAAGUUUAAGUAUGGACAUUCAUAUAAAGCAUGGAUUUUUGGAUAGAGGUGAAACUCUAAAUCGUAAUGAAGCUAAUGCAGAGCCGAUACUAUGAAUAUAAGUAGUAAUGGUAAUGCUCUGAAUGUGAGAAGCAGAGGUGAUGCUCUGGACAUAAGUUGUAGAAUCGAUGAUUUGCAUGUAUAAGUAGUAGAGAAGAUGCUCUAGAUAUGAGCGAUGCUCUUGAUGUAUAAAUAGCCGAUGCGAUGCUCUGAACAUAAGUAGGAAAGGUAAUGCUCUAGAUAUAAGUUGUAUACUCUGGACAUAAAUAGUAGAGUCAAUGCUUUGGACAUAAGUAGCUCCGAUAAACUGAUGUCCUUACAUGGGGGUGGCGCAUCCAUGUUAAGGACUUCUUUUCUUCCUCCAUGGUAUUUGAUCCAGCUAUGAAAGGCUUUGCCUUCAUAGAUAUUAAGGUGGGCCAACCCCUUUCCUUACGAAACAAUAAAUAAUAUAAGCUUUUAUAAAGAUAAGUAGAUGUAACAUAAUUGAAGCAAAAGCAAAGCUCAAGAAGAUAGGUAGCUGUAAUGUAGUCGAUGUAGAGGCAUGAUGAGCUUUCUGAAGAUAGAUACAUCUGUGUUAUUGCUAAUGUAGAUUCGUGGCUCUAAGUAUAUAAACAGCUUGUAAUAAGCUGAUAUAGAGACAUGAUGAGCUCUCUUGAAUAUAAAUACAUCUGCAAUGCAACAACUCAUAUAGUGAGGCAUCUCACAAAGAGAGAAAUGAAUAUCGAGCAACCAGCUCAUCUCGAACUAUCGUGGACUUAAGGAUGAGUUCUUAUUGCUAUGCUAUAUGAUAGAGAAAAUUCCAAAUUGGAAGCAAAAGUACAAUCAUCUAGCAUACGCGAGACAUCUUUAAAUGAGAAUAACUAUCAAGCUGGUGGCUCGCCUUGGACUAUUGAAGACUUGUAAAGAGUCUUUGAAUGGACAAAAUCUUAUAGUUAGGCUUGACAGUAGUGAAAGGUGAGGAAUGAAAAUAUCUCAAAGCUAGGGAUAAACAUUUGACAAUGCAGAGAACAAACAUCUCGCGAAUAGCUCUCGAACUAUCGGAUCUUAUAACUUGAAUGACGAGGUCUUAUAACUUGCUCAACGAUAGUGAGGGAUAAGUGAUAAUAAUCUCGCAAAGCUAAGAAUAAGUAUAUGGCGAGCCCGUGAAUAAACAUCUUACGAGUAGCUCUCAAAUUAUUGAAGUCUUAUAAAUUGACUUCGGAUAGACGAAGUCUUAUAACUAGGCUCAACAAAAGAUAAACGUAGGGAAUAAGCAUCUCGCGAAGCUAGGAAUAAAUAUCCUGUAAAUAGCUCUCGAACUAUUGAAAGUCUUAUAAGCUGGCCUCGAAUAUAUAAGGUCUUAUAGUUAGGUUCGACGAUAGUGAAAUGCGAGAAAUAAACAUCUCGUGAAGCCAGGAAUAGUCAUAUAGCAAGGUGGGGAAUAAACAUCUCGUGAAUAGCUCUCGAACUAACAAAGUUUUAGAAGCUUGCCUCGAAUAGACGAGGUUUUAUGGCUGGCUCGAUGAUUGUGACGAGCAAGGGAUAAGCAUAUAAAAAACUCAAGAAUAAGCACUUGGCGAGGCAUAGAAUAUACAUCCUUCGAAUAGUUCUUGAAUUAUUGGAGUCUUAUAAGCUAACAUUGGAUAGACAAGGUCUCAUAACUAGGCUCGACGAUAGUGAGAUGAGAGGAAUAAGCAUCUCGUGAAGUCGAGAAUAAGGAUCUGGUAAGACACGGAAUAAACAUUCCGCAAAUGAUGUCAAGAAAAGCUCAUUUUGCAAGGACAAACACAUCUAAAAAUGCAUCUUCCUUUUUUCAAGGACUCCUAGAAACAUAAGGCACAGAGAUCAGGGCACCAUUAUAUAAAAAUCUAUGCAUAUACAUGCCAAGGCAAAGAUUCUUUCAACUUCCA
Molecule: long non-coding RNA, 2225 nt
Filed under: Olea europaea subsp. europaea
Lineage: Eukaryota; Viridiplantae; Streptophyta; Magnoliopsida; Lamiales; Oleaceae
Source: RNAcentral